ACUUUCGGCGGCGGCACCAGACUGGAUGUUGGCAGCGUCACUCCUCCUAAAGUGAGCCUCCUGUCCCUGUCCAGUGGAGAAAUCUCCUUAAGGAAGACGCCGAAACUGGUUUGUGUGGCCAGCGAGGGCUUUCCUUCAGACUGGAAGCUGAGCUGGAAGGUAAAGGACCGCAUGAGGCAUGAGGAGAGCAGUGCUGGGCUGAUGCAGGAAAACGCUCUGUACAGCUGGAGCAGCAGCCUGACUCUCUCUGAGGACGAGUGGAUGACGGAGAGCAGCUCUGUGAGCUGUUAGGCCACACGCAGCGGCCAGCCUACAGUCAGUGCACAGCUGACCAGAGAUCAGUGCUCACAGUGAACCACUCGCUCCUCUGCUUCAGGCUUACGCUGAUUGAUAACUCAUGAUAAUGGUUUAUAACUGUAAUAAAAUGCAUUAUAUCGC
This is a non-coding RNA of Danio aesculapii, 438 nucleotides long. The record is from the annotation of a RefSeq genome assembly. Lineage: Eukaryota; Metazoa; Chordata; Actinopteri; Cypriniformes; Danionidae.